GGCAUCCGUCUGAUCGUGAAGCCGCGCGAGCGGCAGCAGAGCCAUCUCGCGCGCGUGCGCGAACAUGAGUCCGCGCGCGCGCUGCGCCCGCUCGGCGAUACGGCGACGACGGCGGGCGCCGCGUGUCCGAUGACGGCGGCGCGCGAGCCGGGCGCGAGCGCCGCCGCGCUUGCCGCGGUGGAGGCGGGCGCGCUCGACGCCGCGCAUCGAGGCGGCGCGGCCGCCGCCGCCGCGGGCGAGCCUUGCCCGCCGCGCGAUCCGGCCGAGGCCGCGCCGCUGCCGCUCGCGGCGGCGCCCGCCCCGGCGUCGCCGGCCGUCGACGCCGACGCGAGCGCCCGCGGCGUGCCCGCAUGGCGCUUCACAUGGCGGCCCGUGCCCGUCGAUCCGGUGCCCGACGAGCCGUCGCCCGCGCUGAGCGGCAGGCGAAUCGCGCUCGUCAACGGGCGCGGCGGCACGGCCGAGCGGGUCGCGGCGGCGCUCGCGCGAACCUGCGCGAAAGUGUCGGUGUUCGCGCCCGCGGCGAGCGCCGAUCACGCGGAAGCGGCGCGGGUGUUCGUCAACGAGGCGGGGCCGCUCGACGGCAUCGUCGAUCUCGGGCUCGAGGCGCCGUUCGCGCUCGACGACGCGGGCGCGUGGGAGGCGCCGAUGCGCCGCACCGUCGAGCUGCUCAAGGCAUGCUACGGCGACUGGGCGGCGGAGGACGACACAUCGCGGCUCUUCUAUGUCGCGCUCACGUGGAUGGACGGGCAGAUGGGCUACGGCGAGACCGCCGGCGCGCAGCCGCUCGGCGGCCUGUGGGCCGGGCUCGCGAAGACGCUGCCGCAGGAGCUGCCGAACUGCAACGUGCGCGUGCUCGACAUCGCGCCCGACGAGACGGGCCGCGUCGAUCGGCUCGUCGUCAACGAGCUCUAUCGCUGGGGGCUGUUCGAAGUCGGCUAUCGCGGCGGCGUGCGCUACACGUUGCACGCGAAGCGCAACGAACUGCCGCCGCACGCCGUCGACGCGCGCACCACGCUCGGCGCGGGCGACACCGUGCUGUUCUCGGGCGGCGCGCGCGGCAUCGGCCUGUUGUGCGCGCGCUCGCUCGCCGAGCGUCAUGGCUGCACGGUGAUCGUCACCGGGCGCGAGACGCCGCCCGACGGCGGCGAGCCGUGGAUGGCGCUCGACGAGCCAGGCUUCAAGCACUAUGGCCUCGAGCAGUUGCGCGCGGCGACGCCCGAGCAUCCGCCGAAGGCGAUCCGCGCGGCGCUGCAGCGCCUGAAGCGGCGGCGCGAGCUGAGGACGGCGCUCGACGAGAUGGCCGCGCUCGGCCUGCCGGUUCAUUACCGCGUGUGCGACGUGACCGACCGCGCGGCCGUGCGCGCGCUGUGCGACGAGCUGGGCGAUUCGCUGCGGAUGGUGAUCCACAACGCGGGCGUCGACCGGCCGGUGCGCCUGAUCCAGAAGCGUGCCGAGGAUUUCGCGGACACGGUGCGCACGAAGGUGCUGGGCUUCGCGAAUCUGUGCGACGCGGUUCGCGCGCGGCCUCGGCUCGUGCAGUUCUGCAACGUCGGCUCGCUGACGGGGCGCUGGGGCGGGAUGACGGGCGAGACCGACUACGCGGCCGCGAACGAGGCGCUCGCGCGCCUGGGCCUAUGGGCCGCCAGGCACGCGUUCUCGCCCGCCUGCGGCGUGAAGACGCUCGUUUGGCCGACGUGGGAAGGCGUCGGGAUGAUCACGAACUUCGCGGUCACGCAGCGCUAUGUGAGCCCGAUGAACGUCGAUGAGGGCGUGCGGCACUGGCUGCGCGAACUGGCCGCGCCGGGCAGCGGCGAGGUGAUGUUCAUGGGCGCGGUCGGCCGCGCGCCGACGCCCAUGCAGAUCAAGGGCUUCGUGCCGAUCCGCGAGCUGCCGAACAUCGGCGAGCUCGUCACGCGCCGGCACCACGUCGGCGAGCCGGUGCGGUUUCGGCCGUUCAAGCGCUUCGAGAGCCGCUAUGCGAUCGAUCCCGCGGUCGCGCCGUACGCGCACGCGUUCCGCUUCAACGGGCGCGCGGUGCUGCCCGCGUCGCUCGUGCUCGAGCAUGCGUGCGCGGUCGGCGACUGGGUGAUGCCGCCGACGGGCGAGCCGCGCGAGCUGAGCGAGAUGACGAACGUCGUGCUGCGGCUCGACGCGCUGCCGGACGUGCCGGCGGGCGGCGCGCCCGUCGAGCUCGCGAGCGAGGCGGCCGGCUACAUGAUCGGCGACGUCUGGUGCGUCGACGUGCGGUGCAGCGACGCGCGCACGCAGGCCGAGCUGCUCAGCAUGACGCUCGUCUACCGGCCGCAGCCGGAGCAGAUCGGCGCCGCGUUCGCGCGCGCGCCGGACACGACGCCCGAACCCGCGCCGCUCACGAGUGCGCCGCACGCCGCGUGGAACGGCGAGCUGCUGCCGGCCGGCGACUGGAGCGUGCCCGACGACGCCUCGGCCGGCAUCGUGCGGAUCGGCCGCGUGCCGUCCGCCGCGGUGCUCAGCUUGUGGGCGCUGCCGUUUCCGCUCGAGCUGCGCCUGCCCGUCAAUCACGUCGAGCAUGUGCUGCGCGUGCUGCUCGCCGAAUGGGGCGCCGCGCGGGCCGACGCGCCGGCCGUGUGGCGGAUCGGCGGCGCGAAGCUCGCGCGCCUGCCCGCGGCGUCGGCCGACGGCGUCGUCGAAUACGCGGCCGGCCGCUUCGCCGUGCUCGAUGCACGCGGCUACGUGCUGCUGCGCAUCGACGACGCGCGCGUGGACGGCGAGCCCGCACAAGCCGCGCUGCCCGAAACGGGCGCGCUCGCCGAUCC
This 2795-nucleotide ribosomal RNA is filed under the name Burkholderia mallei 2002721280. Its description in RNAcentral is "23S ribosomal RNA". The record is from RNAcentral. Lineage: Bacteria; Pseudomonadati; Pseudomonadota; Betaproteobacteria; Burkholderiales; Burkholderiaceae.